CAGGGAGAAGCUGUCGUGCCGCUCCGAGCUCUACGGCGACGAGGACGAGAACUGGAGCAGCCCCCGGGGCUUCGCCGCCAGCAACCAAGGGGCCAACUGGGAAGGCGCCGAGACCCCCAACGUCUACGUCAGCCUGGCGAAGGUGGACACCGCGCAGAAGAUCCACAUCCAGAGGCCCUCCAGCAUCCUGCCCUGAGCGCAGCUGCCUGGGGAGGGGGCGGCCGGACCCCCCCCCCCCCCCCCCCCCAAGUCCCGGCGCCGGGAAACGAACCGGGGCGGGACGGGGCUGCCGUCCGCGUGCGACAGGCGUGGGAGCGCACCGCCGGCCCGGGGCACCCCCCGCGCCACCCUUUCACCCCCUCCUGUUUGAUAGCGGAAUAAAAACGUUGAUUUUUA
This is a long non-coding RNA of Dromaius novaehollandiae (emu), 396 nucleotides long. RefSeq lists it as uncharacterized. NCBI's taxonomy places the organism in Eukaryota, Metazoa, Chordata, Aves, Casuariiformes, Dromaiidae. The transcript is spliced from 3 exons. The record is from RefSeq and is a predicted model, not a curated record.